GUGUCAGCCGCCGCGGUAAUACGAAGGGGGCUAGCGUUACUCGGAAUUACUGGGCGUAAAGCGUGCGUAGGCGGCUUAGUAAGUUGGAAGUGAAAUCCUGGAGCUCAACUCCAGAACUGCUUUCAAAACUACUUGGCUAGAGUACCAGAGAGGAUAGCGGAAUUCCUAGUGUAGAGGUGAAAUUCGUAGAUAUUAGGAGGAACACCGGAAGCGAAAGCGGCUAUCUGGCUGGUAACUGACGCUGUUGCACGAAAGCGUGGGGAGCAAACAGGAUUAGAUACCCUGGUAGUCC
Molecule: ribosomal RNA, 292 nt
Filed under: uncultured bacterium
Lineage: Bacteria
Description: partial 16S ribosomal RNA
Rfam family: Bacterial small subunit ribosomal RNA
Source: RNAcentral